Molecule: long non-coding RNA, 9402 nt
Filed under: Homo sapiens (human)
Lineage: Eukaryota; Metazoa; Chordata; Mammalia; Primates; Hominidae
Description: HSALNT0250331
Source: RNAcentral
UGUUUGGGUUUAUUCUGAGUGGAAAAUGAUGUAUUUUUGUUUGUUUGUUUGUUUAUCUGUACUUUGGAAGUCCUGAUUGAGGAGCCUGAAGAUAUCCACACUGAGCAUUGAUCUGUGCAUCAGUAAGUCUGGAUCUAAAGAGGAAGAUCCACACUGGAGCACAGGUCUUCUACAAUGUAGUCAUCGUGCCCUGUGUGGGGGCCACCAUGGGAUGGGCCCCAAGAACAUGGUGUGAACAACAACAGCAAAAAUGGUCUUGACCUCAGAGAGUUCAGGUCUACUCUGAUGGGAAAGAAAAUAUUACACAGUGCCCACCUUUCCGAUGGAGCUGAAGGAGACGGAGUCAGAGGGACUUAAAACAGUAACAACAACAACAAAGUGACAUGGAAUCCAUGAAAGGGAGUGUGACAGAUAAGCAACUUUUCAACUGUAUUCGCAUUUAUAGAGUGUUUUAGGAAGGUAAAUAUUGAAAGGAACACAACGAAGUAAAUGAAAUUAGAAAUGCACAUUUUAUUUUGUGAAAAUACAAUUUUUUGUCUGUACUAGGACUAUAUCAACCAGAAAGAUAGCUCUCCAUGAGACAUCAUGACUCUCUAAAAGAUGCUUAUUGUACAGAUGAUGUUUUUCUAAAUUUACAGAUCUUUUUCACCUUUAGUGUUUAUGCCUGGUAUACAUUUUAUCCUAUAUUAUCUUGCACUUUUAUCAUUCAUGAAACAUUCAGCAAGUCUUUACUAGCUCGUUGGUGAAAGCAAAAUGAAUACACAUUUCUCCCCAUUUGGCAGACAUUUUCUGAGGGUGUAAAUUUAAUAAAGUUAUACUGAGAACUUCUUAACUACCUCCUAUACACAAGAUAUGCACACACUGAGAGAAUGGUGCAGAUGUGUUAAUUAGUAUACAUAGAAAAGUAAAUAACAAUUCAUGGCAAUCAUUGUAUGUAGGCAAUCAGUAGGGUUUCUAUUAGAUUCAUUAGUUCUUUCAUUCACUCUUCCAAUUAUUCAUUUGAAAUAUAUCUUCACAUUUCAUUCAAAACCUAAGAUUCUCUGAUUGUAUGAUAUGAUGGCUUCAAAUCCACUCACUUGUCUAGGUUUACCUUGAACUCUUCUUUAUGAUGUGUGUGCUCUCUUUCCAAACAGCCCUAAGAAAAGAGGUCAGAGGACAUAAUUUCUCUUUCUUCAGAGGCGUAUUCUCUGAAACUCCUGGAAGCAUGCUAUGAAAGCAAGUAAUAUUCUCUCCAUAUCUACUUGCUAAAAGAAUUAGUGUAUAUAUGCACAUAAACAUACAAACAGAGAUACAUAAAUACAUGUAUUUUCUAAAUGUGGUGUCAAUAUCUCAUCAAUAUUCUGUAUCUCAUCCUGGAUUGAGUUACUUAUCCCAAGGAGUCUCUUGCUAAACUGUAGAAUAAAGUAUCACUCAGGGCAUUUUGAUAUAUCCAAAUUAAUGCAGCUAUUUUAAUGCCACCAUUUUUAUCCAGGAGGUUGUUUGUAGAAUUUUUUUUAUUUGGUCCCAUUAAAAUAUGAACUCACUGCAUUUCUUUGUUCUUAUUUAUCAGGGAGGCCACUUAAGAGAAGUCAUAAUUAUCAGCCCAUUCUUGAUCCUAUCUCCAACACAAUUCCCAUCCCUCGAGUGAGGAGGGCCUUUUAAACAUUCCAUCAGGGGCCUGUGGAGGACGUCUGGCGGCGAGUCAAUCAAGAAGCAGCAUGAACUGGCAGUAGAAUCUACGAGGAAUUUUAAAAUAUACAUUUAUAUAUACAUGCAUAUACUCUUUUUUUUCGAUCUGCCAUUCCUAGGCAGACUUCCUCUGAAUUAGCUUCCGUGGUCUCUCCACAGACAGUUGUUUUUCCCACUCUCCCACCCCAGCCCCUUAUGCUUCCCUCACCACCCUAGCACCCCCACCCUCCGCCGCCCCCCUAGUGCUGGAGACCUGUGCAAUAUCAUUUUCCGCAUAAUGAAAUCCGGAGUGACAUUAAUAUAAGUGUAAUUUUAUAGAAGGGAAUGGCCCUGGCUGAUGGUUUCUACCUGCUGUGUUUUGAUGAUAGACAUCGGGAUGUCACCAUCUGUGUAAUGAAAUUUCACCUCCGUAAUGGUUCAGACUAUCAACCGUUCUUCCAAGCUGGCUCUGGGAAUCUAUUUAUUUAUUUAUUUACGUAUUUAUUUAUCUGCAAACGGGUGCUGUAGGCCUGUUUAUCAUAGAAAGUAUGGGUGAAAAGAGGAUUAAGUGCAUUAAGGAAAGUAAAGGAGAAGUGGAUGUAAACAUUGGCUAUUGCCCCAUAAAUACAUUGAUCGUGAGGUGAAGUUACAAUGCCCAGUCCUGCAAAUGAGUUUUUUCUUCUACAUUAACCUACAUAGUUCUCUAAUUGGGACAGAUACUGAUGAGUUAAUUUCAGAUAAGUGUAAAAUUAAGGUAAGUAACAUAUAUGGAAAGCCUAUUAUGUGAAUGUGUAGAAAUUAUCUCAUUUAACUUCCAAAUAAUGUUGUCAGGAUGCAAUGACUUAGCAGGUAUAAAGUUCCAGAAGACAAAUACAAGACAAAUGUGUAAUACUCAGCAAAAGGUAGGCACUCUUACUCACUUAAGCAAAAAGUGAGACUCAGAGAGGAUAAUUAACUCGGAGAUGAAACACAAUUUAACCCAGAACCGUCUUCCUCAUAAAUUCAUGCUCUUUUCAUUACCCCAAGCUGCCUCCUAGGCACUGAGGCCAAAUUGGGGUUGGUGAAUUGGAUUCAGCAGGGAAAAUUUCAGAUAUGUCCAAAUGCCCAAAUAUGGCUGUAUAAUUUCAAGUUGGAAUAUCAACUAUUUGUGUCUCCAGUUGCCAGCAAUGACCUAGAUUUUGUUUGUUUUCUAUUUCUCUAAUGCUUAGCUGUGACAAUGGCAUUAAAAAGAUAAAGGAGACAGGAGAGAGGAUAAAUAUUGAUAUGUAAUUAUUUCAGUUAGAUUGCAAACUGCUUAUUCCAUUACAUAACAAGUCCAUUUGUUUAUGAAUAGUUAGAACUACACUUCAUAUGAUAUCCAGGAACAAAAUACACGUUUUUGAUAAUUUUUGAAUAUUAUGGCUGAUUAUAGCUCCUACUCAUUUUUUAAAUAAAACUGCUAGUAGUAUUAUUUCAUAACUAUUCAGUGUUUUACUCUUUUCAAUUCUGAUUUUUUAUUUUUAAACUAAAAAAAAAAAAAAAACCUAGGUUUCAAAUUUCUGUCUCAACUCUUUUCAUUAGUGAGAUUAUUUAACUUUGAGGUAUGCCACAAGUAAUAGAUAAUAAUAAUAGCUAUAUAAUCACAUUUUUAAAUUAUUUAUCUUUGUUGUAAAUAUGUUUGAGCAGAUUCAAGAUUAUAAUGUAAUUUUUGAUAAUUGAAAACUCUCAUAUGAUUUCUUCAUAUCAGUAGAAAAGAAAGGAAUAGAAUUACUAUUGUUUGCCACAUAAAAUUCAAAGUCUCUGUACUUGUAUCAUGGCUUGCAGAACCCACCUGAAAUUUACAUGAGUUCUCGGCCAAGUGUGAUGGCUCACACCUGUAUUCCUAGCACUUUGGGUGGCUGAGGCGGGAGGAUCACUUGAGGUUAGGAGUUUGAAACCCACCUGGCCAACAUGGCGAAACCCCGUCUCUACUAAAAAUACAAACAAAUUAGCUGGGUGUGGUGGUGCACGCCUGUAGUCCCAGCUACUUGGGAGGCUGAGGUAAGAGAAUUGCUUGAACCCAGGAGGUGGAGGUUGCAGUGAGCCAAGAUCGUGCCACUGCACUCCAGCCUAGGCAACAAAAUGAGACUCUGUCAAAAAAACAAACAAAAAAAAAGAAUGAAAAAAUAGAAGAAAUUUACAUGAGUCCUGACAAAAGCUUGAGAAUUCAGGAUCUACUUGGGUAAGUGUAGUUGGCAUUCCAGCCUCUUCUGAAUAAUGUGUGAUUUUCCCAUCUUCUUUCUUUCACCCCUUCUGCAUAGUCACUCUUCGUGUUAACUUGGUUUAUAUCUCAUUCUGUGUAUUUGUCUCAUAUCUCCCAGUUCUAUUAGAACCUCCCCAAAAUGAGGAGCUAAUUUUACUCAUCUUUAUUUCUUACAACACCUGGCAUAAUGCACUGAAAAAUUAGGGACUCAAUUUACAUGUGUUCAAUCACCCUCCUUUAACCAGCAUUAAAGCUUGAACAUCAUUCCUGGUUCUUCAGUUCUCCUGCAUGGAGUCUUGAGCCUUUCUUCAUCACCUCAGUCAGAAGACUCUGUGAUUGGAGAUUCCAAGAGAUCAUCCUCGAUCACCAUUUUAUGCGGGCAGAGCAAAGAAUAAAAAUGCUUAAUACCUGGACAGAUGGCCCAAGAGUCAUUGGAGUGUGAAGCUGGCAAUGUUUCCUUCGUAGUGAGCACAUGCUUAUCCACUUUAGAAUAAACAAACCCAGUGGUAUAGGUUUGUUUAUCAACAGGAGGUAAGGAUAGAGGUGGGGGACAAGUUUAUUUUCUUGACAACUUCCAUCUGCAUCUUGGGCCAAAACCCCUGCUAACUCAAGAUUAGAAUACUUCCCUUAAAAAUGUGUUUACAGUGACCAGAAACCUUUGCAUUGAUGAGAGACCAGAGCUUGGGGUACCUAUCCCAGUUAAUGCAGCCCCCUAAUAAUUUCACCUAUAUCUAGGGGCAUCUACAGCCUCUAAAAUCCCACCUUACACUUUACCUUAUUCCAUGCAAUCUCCUCUCCAAUUAAACCGAACUUCACCCAGUUUGAUCUAACCAUUAAAACACGGAUGACAAUCCUUUGCAUUGAACGAGAUGAGCUUAUCCUAGUCAAUGUUUGUUGAGCGAAGCCCAAAUCUCACUCACCACCUUUUGUCUGUUUUCAAUUUCUGCCAAACCCCUCACUUUUCCCUUUUGGGAAGAUGUCAUUAUCUAAGACUCAUUAAGAGAAAUUAUUCACCAUAAUGACUACAAUUGUUACAUGUACUGAGCUUCUAACCCUGAAAAUUCAAGUUCAAACGUUCCUACAUACACAUACUGAAACACACACCACCCACACAUACAAAAUCUAUUCUUUAUUUCUGGUCACAUUUUGUUGAAUGCCCCUCCAGGGUAUUAAAGCUUCUUCUGUUGCAUUGACACUUACUCUCUCUUUCCAGAUUAGAGGUGGAACAUGAACAGUUCAAAUGCAGUCCAAUCUCCACACAUUGGGUCUGGAGUAACAUCAGCAAGAUAAUUACAUAUAAAAGUUGAGCUUCAAUUAAUUGGGAGUUCUAGGCCUAUAAACUAAGGUUUAGGAAAUUUGCCUUUGCUAGAGCUUUUGAAGAGCAAGAGGAAGGAAUCAAGGUAACUCAGGAAAACUUAGAAGCAGGAAGAGCCAGUGGCCAUAAAUGGUAUGAACAGAUGGGCUUCUAAGGGGCAAGAGGUCUUGUGUUUCAGUGUAAGUGAGAGGCCAGUAAUCAAGGUCCUAUCCUACAACAGUGAAAGUGAGGAAAAGAGAUCAGAGCUGGGAUCUCAUUAAUUUUCUGUGAAGUUUGUAACAAGGGCAUGUUGUCGCAGGUCUCAAAUCUGUGAUAGUUUUCCAGGUUUAUGCAAACUGUGUUAGCUAUAGGAAUGAUCUAGUCCCUUUUCCUACUGCUCUAAGUCUAUAAUUCAGGCAGAAGGAUGCAGUCAUGUGCAGCAUGUUCUUCUGUUCUCAUCGCUUUAUUCUGUAUGGAAUCUGCUCAGUGGGCCCCUUUGGUGACGUUUUUUCUAUUUUACAGAGGAAAGCCAGGAACCUAGUUAUAACCUGACGGCAUGACUUCUAUAUACCGGGACAGGGGUGGGGAGGGGGAAGAAAAAAUCUCACAUUCAACUGUAAAAUGAAAUAAAAAGGUAAUAGCACAUAUAUUGUUGAAAUUGCAUCCUAUAUUUUAAAAUUUUGAUUAAAAAACUUAAAGAUUUAAAACUCUACCUUAUCUAGCCUGUAUUCAAGGGAAGUUGUCUGACAUUAGCAAGGUUGUAGACAAUGUAAGUGUCUCAAUAGACGUUACUCAGAGCUCCAAAAUCAUCCUUCCAAACUUUUAGAACUGCAGAGCUUCUCAUGCUGAAAUUGCCUAGGGAUCUCAAAGGCCUUCUCUGGCAACCCAGAACACAGAAAUAAAUGGAUGAGAUUUAGAGGAGUUAGCAAAUCAUAGCCUAUAGGCCCAAUCUAGCCCAUCGCCUGCUUUUGUUAAUGAAAUAUUACUGUUAUGUAUUGUCUAUGGCUCUUUUUGUGCUAUGUUUGCAGAGUUGAGGAGUUGUGAUGUGGCCUGCAGUGCUUAAAUUAUUUGCUAUUUGGCCCUCAACAAAAAAAAAAAGUUUGUUAACCCCCACAUUAGAGAAUAUGAACAUUAGAAAGUGUCAUGUAAGCAUCCUUUAAGUGACUAUACAAAUAGGGACAAACAACUAACAAAACAAAUAAAAUGCCAUGUAUAUUAUUUUAUAAGUAGCUGAUAAAAAUCUUAACUCAUAUGACAAAUAACGUGACAUUUAUCCUGAAGAAGAAGAGAGAAAGAAGGGGACACUAAAGUCUUAUUUUCAAGAUAGUCCAUCAUAAUGGAAUUUUUGAUAUCAUUUGUCCCAGUUUAUAGAAGUAAAAGAAAAUGCAACUUAAUUCAAAAACAGAAAUUGGAACUUUCUUUUAAAGGAAUGAGUAAGUGUUAAAAUAAAAACACGCCUCAUUCCCUAGUUAGAAAUUAUUUCCAAAUCAGGUAAUUUUCUUUAUGAGGCAUCCCAAACCCAUUUACUUUUCUCCAUCCCCAAUGCCCACCUUGGCUCAAACCAUCACUGUCUCCCAAAUGAAUUAUUAGAUUCAUAACUGGUUUUGUCUAUUCACAUCAAUUCUCUACAAUGCUGUCAGAGUGUUUCUUCUACAGACAGACUUGAUUAUGCUUAAAACUGUUAAAAGCCUUCAUACUGCGGGGAGGACAGAGCUUAGACCUCUUACUCUGGCCUAUAAGGAUGUCUCUCAUCUUUCCUUCUCCAUUUCAAAUCAUUGGUCUCAACUCUUGACCUCUUGUGCUUCCCACCAUAAAAGUAAUUAAUUGCUCUUUCAUCAAUGGCUAAACUCUCAACAUCCUCCCAGCUUUUGCCUUUACCUGUUCCUCUUCCUAGACUUUCUUUCCCCACCCCUGUCCCAAUCUUCAAAUAGCAAGACUGAGCUAGAUAGGUAUCUUCCCUUAAAUCUUACCAAUGGAAGCACACUCCAUUUACUAUCCUACUGUAUUAAUUGGUUACUUUUCUCUGUCCCCAAAUAAGUAGAAUCAGCUUCAGAACAGAGGUCAUGGUUUCUUUAUUUUUCUAUCAUUAGAGUUUAACAUGCCUGGUACAAUUUUGAAGCUCAAUAAACUGUCUCAAAUAACACAGUAAAUGAAUAAAUAAAUGGAUGAAAAGAAGGAUGAGAGAAAAAGACGAAGAAAGAGAAAAAGAACAAAUUUAUGCCCUCUUGCCCAAGAAGAAUAUAAAAAUACAGUUGGUUUGGGGGGCAUGAGGAUGGGAUCAGAGGCACAUGCUACUGUAAGAUGCAAGUGUAUUUUCAGAGAAAAUAAAUUAUAGUGUGUUUCUUGUAUAGCAAACUGUAAACCUAUCACCUCCUGCUGUAAAUCUGACCCUCCAUGGAAUAAAUCUGUCCUGUAAUCUCAGUGUUUUUCAUAAAAUAGCAUUCCAUUCUUUAAAAGAGUAAAAUGAUCUAAUCUGCAGUUCCAAAACUUCACUUUUCAAAAAAAAAGAAAGGAUUAUUGAAAUUUAUAGAUUUGGCCAUGGCAAAAUGGCAUUUAUAUUUUUCAGAGUUAAAAUGAAAUAAAAUAUAUAACUUGUUGGGUUUUGCUUUCAUGACAAAUAGGCACUGACAAAUACAUACCACAUUACCAUCCUUGAUUGCUCUGAUGGAACUCAUUUUCAUCUUGUGUUCCUCUAAUUACAUGAAAAUUGCAUACUUUUUAUGCAUGACACAUUUUGCACAGCUUUAGCAAAAGGUUGUGAUGAAAAGGAGAAAAAAAAAAUUUAUCAGUUUUUCCCCUUUCACAGCAGCAAUUGAUCACCUUCCCAGCAAUCAGUCUUGCUUUAUGGGCCUACUUUUCUCCACUAUUGUUGUAACCAAGUGGCAGCAGAAGGGCCUGUAUACAAGAAAAUAUGGUGGGGACUUUUAGGUCCUUUUCUCUACUCUUAAUAGAUGAGAUUUAGGAUGCCCUUGCUUUCCGAUGGUUGUUGCUGAGUUUUCUUUGCUUUCUACAUCCCUGUCUGCCUGGAUUUGAAGCUUUCACCUUAGAAAGACUGAUAGGACUCCUGUAUAAGAAUCUCAUCUCACCCCUUAUUUCUCAUUCAUUCAAACUACUUUACAUUUAUAGCAAAUAUUUAAAAUUGUAAAGCACUUUCCCACAUUUUUUUUUUUACAUUUUAACUCCACAAUUAAAUGUAAUAUAUUUAGGGAAGGCAAUUUUAAUCUACCUUUUUAAAAUGAAGAAUGAUUACAUGACUUGUGGUUUACCUAAGUUGAUGUGAUUUAUUUAUUUUAAAUCUUGAAGCUGACUCAGAAGUCCUGGCCUCCUGUUCCAGCUUUUCCCAGUGUUUGACUUCUCUUUACUGAAGACCUCGGGAAAGAGUUUUUCUGCUACCUAUCCCUAAAAUGCAUACAAAGAAUACAUCAAUAACAAAUACCCGAGCAAAUUACAGGCAAUCAAUUGGGUGUUUCUUUUCUCAUUCUUUAUUUCUAUUCUUUCUGAGAAAGAAGGCAUUGGCAUUCAGAGGAAGCUCAGCGUCAUUGUAUUUAACUCGAAAGGGAUUGUAGAAGGCACAUCUCAUUCCUUGAAAAUAAUGACAAAUUAUGCAAUUUUUGUUUUACCCAACUAGAUUGAAAACGCCUGGGGAAUAGCCAAGCUGCCUGGCAAAGGGAGGCAUUUGAUGUUCAGGCUUUGGAGCUCAGGGAACGACAUUGCUUUUUAAACAGGUGCGGGCUCCUAACGCUGCGCUUGCUUCCCUUUUUUGGACAGGCACAGCACCUGACCAACUUCGGGAGAACAAAGCCUCCAUCUGGACCAAAGGGAAAGAGAGCUGGUCGCCUGUGGAGCAGCAAAGAACAAGGCUUUGCUUCCCUUUGAAGAGCUGGCGUUCUUGUUAAUCACCUGGCAAAGUCUUAAUUUAAAGAGGGACUCUUAGAGAAGGGGAGAAUCCCAAGUAUAUUUGACUUUCAUAUCUACCUACCUUUCAUCAGCUUUAUUAAAAUUGGUGAUGUCUCAUGUAUUAAUUGUGAACCCCAUUUGUAUCUGAAUAUGAAGUAUUGCCUUGAGGUCCUCUGUCAUUGCUCUCUGGUCCUGGGAUGUACUCACAUUGCUGCCUUCUCCGUGGAGUAAUUAUUUCUGGGGAUAAAUACUGUAGUGUCAGGCACACUGGAUUACAACUGUUGCAGGGUAAACACAAGGGGACUUCAGGUUUUUAGAAUGCCUAAUUAGACGACAGUAAAUG